UCUUGCGAGCGCGAGCACUUGUGCCACCGCGGGCAUUUUCAGAAGACUUUAUAGAUAUUUAAUUCCACAGUCUAUAAAUAUGUAAGCAAAACACUGUAAUGGUAAUGCUUAAAGUGUUGUCAGGUGGCAAUUGCAGCAAAAUAAACCCUUUUAAAUUAGCCGCUAAUUUAACUUGUCUCAUUCUGAAGGCCCGUAAGUUAAACAUGAUGGCGCAAGCAACCGCGAAGACUGAAGAUAUUAAUUCUGUAUACUACUAAAGACUGAAGAUAUUAAUUCUGUAUAUUACUAAAGACUGAAGAUAAUACCACCGCGAUAGAUUGUGCAUAUGCUAAGAACAUGCUUAAGCAGAAGUGUCAUCGGGACUAUAAUGGAUUAUGCAUUUUUCUUUCAUGUGGUCGAAUUAUGGUCACCGUAGCCACCCGGAUCCAGUCCAUAUCCAGAUCAGAUGGAGACAACCUCUAUAGCCCUGAAUGUCAGCAGAGACCAUGUCAACUUCAUGAGCCCCAAAGACAGAUCUCAAGUGAAGGCCUCAUCAACUAUACGGCCUUUGGCACAAAACCUCAGCAAAGACCACGAUAACAAUUGGUUUGUCUGGCUAGAGGAGAACUGGCCCCCCGACUGAGCCUGCUUUCUUCCAAGGUUUUUUCUCCAUUUCUGUCACCUUUGGCUUGCUUAUUUGGGGACACUUAAUUUUUGGGAAUAUUAAAGACUUGUUUGCAGAGACACUAUUUGAAGAGACUUGAACAUAGCUGGAUGAUGAUGACAUCACUGAAUCAACGAUGAACUGACUUUAACUGAAAUAUUGACAUAUAUGUAUAUGUUUACAUUUGUUCUCUUUUUAGAGCUGCUUUACUGCAUAACUGAAUUUUUUUGCAUUAUUGACGCUAUUUUCCCGUUUAACAAUGUAAAGCUGCUUUGACACAAUCUGUAUAUUAUGAAGUGCUAUAUAUAAAUAAGGGUGAGUUGACUUGCUUUUGACAAUUCUUCAUAGAAAUGUUUGUGUGCAGUCUGUUUUGAACAAUUUUGUAUUUUUGAGAAUUGUAUUAGUAGCCUUCAAUGUGAAAGA
Molecule: long non-coding RNA, 1066 nt
Organism: Onychostoma macrolepis
Lineage: Eukaryota; Metazoa; Chordata; Actinopteri; Cypriniformes; Cyprinidae
Exons: 3
Source: RefSeq, a predicted model, not a curated record